GAUAAUCAGUAUGGCCUUCUGAGACACAAUAUAUGAUUGAGGUUGAUACACAAUUCCACCCGCAAGGUUAUGAAUCUGCCUACUUCAUAAAACUGCCAGGGCAAAUGCACUCAUCCAUGAUGCUUACCAGUGCACCAAAUUGCAACGACACUCAGGUCCUACCUGGGUCAAGAGUAUGGCCCAGAAGUAUAAAAUGCAAAUUAAGCAACAGCUAGCAUAGUUCUAUAAAAUGCAUCUACUUGUACCAUAGAAAGGGUAGCCAAAUGAUACUACUCGCUUGAAACCAAGUCAAAUAUUCGGCGUUUCAACAAGGGGCCAACGUGAACGUCAAAAUGUCAGCCUUCGGUCUAAGAUCAGACCAGGCAGAAGAUUGCUCGUACAGCCUAGACCGAGUAGAAGAUCCUUUGGUCCCUUAGACCAAGUAGAAGAAGAGUUAACGAAAGAUGAGCAAUGGCAUUUGUCCACCCAGCAGACGGAG
This 478-nucleotide unclassified non-coding RNA is filed under the name Hevea brasiliensis (rubber tree). Lineage: Eukaryota; Viridiplantae; Streptophyta; Magnoliopsida; Malpighiales; Euphorbiaceae. The record is from RNAcentral.